CCUACGGGUGGCAGCAGUGAGGAAUAUUGGUCAAUGGACGAGAGUCUGAACCAGCCAAGUAGCGUGAAGGAUGACUGCCCUAUGGGUUGUAAACUUCUUUUAUAAAGGAAUAAAACGAGGCACGUGUGCCCUUUUGCAUGUACUUUAUGAAUAAGGAUCGGCUAACUCCGUGCCAGCAGCCGCGGUAAUACGGAGGAUCCGAGCGUUAUCCGGAUUUAUUGGGUUUAAAGGGAGCGUAGAUGGGUUGUUAAGUCAGUUGUGAAAGUUUGCGGCUCAACCGUAAAAUUGCAAUUGAUACUGGCAGUCUUGAGUACAGUUGAGGUAGGCGGAAUUCGUGGUGUAGCGGUGAAAUGCUUAAAUAUCACGAAGAACCCCGAUUGCGAAGGCAGCUUACUAAACUGUGACUGACAUUGAUGCUCGAAAGUGUGGGUAUCAAACAGGAUUAGAUACCCCAGUAGUC
This 460-nucleotide ribosomal RNA is filed under the name uncultured bacterium. Its description in RNAcentral is "partial 16S ribosomal RNA". It matches the Rfam family "Bacterial small subunit ribosomal RNA", at positions 338 to 795 of the family's 1533-position model. The record is from RNAcentral.